This 1345-nucleotide ribosomal RNA is filed under the name uncultured bacterium. RNAcentral's name for it is "bacterial SSU rRNA". It matches the Rfam family "Bacterial small subunit ribosomal RNA", at positions 28 to 1381 of the family's 1533-position model. The record is from RNAcentral.
GAUGAACGCUAGCGGGAGGCCUAACACAUGCAAGCCGAGCGGUAUUGUUUCUUCGGAAAUGAGAGAGCGGCGUACGGGUGCGGAACACGUGUGCAACCUGCCUUUAUCUGGGGGAUAGCCUUUCGAAAGGAAGAUUAAUACUCCAUAAUAUAUUGAACGGCAUCGUUUGAUAUUGAAAGCUCUGGCGGAUAGAGAUGGGCACGCGCAAGAUUAGCUAGUUGGUGAGGUAACGGCUCACCAAGGCGAUGAUCUUUAGGGGGCCUGAGAGGGUGAUCCCCCACACUGGUACUGAGACACGGACCAGACUCCUACGGGAGGCAGCAGUGAGGAAUAUUGGUCAAUGGGUGCAAGCCUGAACCAGCCAUCCCGCGUGAAGGACGACUGCCCUAUGGGUUGUAAACUUCUUUUGUAUAGGGAUAAACCUACCCUCGUGAGGGUAGCUGAAGGUACUAUACGAAUAAGCACCGGCUAACUCCGUGCCAGCAGCCGCGGUAAUACGGAGGGUGCAAGCGUUAUCCGGAUUUAUUGGGUUUAAAGGGUCCGCAGGCGGACUUAUAAGUCAGUGGUGAAAGCCUGUCGCUUAACGAUAGAACUGCCAUUGAUACCGUAAGUCUUGAGUAUAUUUGAGGUAGCUGGAAUAAGUAGUGUAGCGGUGAAAUGCAUAGAUAUUACUUAGAACACCAAUUGCGAAGGCAGGUUACCAAGAUAUAACUGACGCUGAGGGACGAAAGCGUGGGGAGCGAACAGGAUUAGAUACCCUGGUAGUCCACGCCGUAAACGAUGCUAACUCGUUUUUGGGCUUUAGGGUUCAGAGACCAAGCGAAAGUGAUAAGUUAGCCACCUGGGGAGUACGCUCGCAAGAGUGAAACUCAACGGAAUUGACGGGGGCCCGCACAAGCGGUGGAUUAUGUGGUUUAAUUCGAUGAUACGCGAGGAACCUUACCAAGACUUAAAUGGGAAUUGACAGCUUUAGAAAUAGAGCUUUCUUCGGACAAUUUUCAAGGUGCUGCAUGGUUGUCGUCAGCUCGUGCCGUGAGGUGUUAGGUUAAGUCCUGCAACGAGCGCAACCCCUGUCACUAGUUGCCAUCAUUCAGUUGGGGACUCUAGUGAGACUGCCUACGCAAGUAGAGAGGAAGGUGGGGAUGACGUCAAAUCAUCACGGCCCUUACGUCUUGGGCCACACACGUAAUACAAUGGCCGGUACAGAGGGCAGCUACACAGCGAUGUGAUGCAAAUCUCGAAAGCCGGUCUCAGUUCGGAUUGGAGUCUGCAACUCGACUCUAUGAAGCUGGAAUCGCUAGUAAUCGCGCAUCAGCCAUGGCGCGGUGAAUACGUUCCCGGGCCU